RNAcentral lists this ribosomal RNA (303 nucleotides) under uncultured bacterium. Its description in RNAcentral is "partial 16S ribosomal RNA". It matches the Rfam family "Bacterial small subunit ribosomal RNA", at positions 507 to 807 of the family's 1533-position model. The record is from RNAcentral.
AGCAGUAGCCGCGGUAAUACGUAGGUGGCGAGCGUUGUCCGGAUUUAUUGGGCGUAAAGGGAAUGUAGGCGGUCUUUUAAGUCUGAUGUGAAAGCCCACGGCUCAACCGUGGAGGGUCAUUGGAAACUGGGAGACUUGAGUGCAGAAGAGGAGAGCGGAAUUCCAUGUGUAGCGGUGAAAUGCGUAGAUAUAUGGAGGAACACCAGUGGCGAAGGCGGCUCUCUGGUCUGUAACUGACGCUGAGGCUCGAAAGCGUGGGGAGCAAACAGGAUUAGAUACCCCCGUAGUCCCUGUCUCUUAUAC